ACCUUGAAGUGUCUGCUUCCACAGUGAUUUAUUCAUGGACAGACAAAGCCACUUGGUGAUCAUUUACAAUAGGCUGGUAGAUCUACUCACAGGAAUAUGCUCAGGGAUGG
Molecule: long non-coding RNA, 110 nt
Organism: Nanorana parkeri
Lineage: Eukaryota; Metazoa; Chordata; Amphibia; Anura; Dicroglossidae
Exons: 3
Source: RefSeq, a predicted model, not a curated record